This is a long non-coding RNA of Pocillopora verrucosa, 334 nucleotides long. RefSeq lists it as uncharacterized. The record is from RefSeq and is a predicted model, not a curated record. NCBI's taxonomy places the organism in Eukaryota, Metazoa, Cnidaria, Anthozoa, Scleractinia, Pocilloporidae.
UGAUUGAAAACAAAUAUUGGAGGAAACGAGUAACACUCGAGCGUGGCCCACGCGGAGAAAUUUUCCGCGUGUGCCGUUCAGACUUUGAACUAUACUUUCAGAUGAACCAAAAUUCGAUUUAUAUGAAUUUGUUGAAAGUCUGUCAGAUCUCGGGGGAUGUUGUAAACGAUCAACAUAAAUCCUUUAUGAUCAAGAAUACCACGCUGACAAUGGAUUUAUACUCGAGAAGCCUGUCAAAAGAUAUGGUGUAGAAAAACUCCGAGUUUUGGCCUCGCAAGGUGGUGUUAUCAAAAUCACAAGGGACGCAAGUGUUCAAGACAUGCAAAAUAAGUAC